RNAcentral lists this ribosomal RNA (490 nucleotides) under Patescibacteria group bacterium. RNAcentral's name for it is "bacterial SSU rRNA". It matches the Rfam family "Bacterial small subunit ribosomal RNA", at positions 1 to 508 of the family's 1533-position model. The record is from RNAcentral.
UUUUUUGAGAGUUUGAUCCUAGCUCAGGAUGAACGCUGGCGACGUGGAUAAGGCAUGCAAGUCGAACGAUCGUCUUCGGACGAUAGUGGCAAACGGGUUAGUAACACGUAGGGAUUUACCUUGAAGUCUGGAACAACUUGGAGAAAUCCAAGUUAAUACUAGAUAGUCCCGCAAGGGUAAAAUUUCCAUCUUUGAUGGUUAUGCUUCAGGAGAAACCUGCGUCCUAUCAGCUUGUUGGUAAGGUAAUGGCUUACCAAGGCAAUGACGGGUAGGGGGAGUGAGAGCUUGGCCCCCAACAAUGGGACUGAGACAAGGCCCAUACACCUACGGGUGGCAGCAGUCAAGAACCUUCCACAAUGGGCGAAAGCCUGAUGGAGCGACGUCGCGUGAAUGAAGACGCUCUUCGGAGUGUAAAAUUCUUUUCUAGAGGAACAAUUUUGGCUUGCCAAAAUGAGCGUACUUUAGGAAUAAGGGGCGGCUAACUUCGUGC